Molecule: unclassified non-coding RNA, 461 nt
Filed under: Hevea brasiliensis (rubber tree)
Lineage: Eukaryota; Viridiplantae; Streptophyta; Magnoliopsida; Malpighiales; Euphorbiaceae
Source: RNAcentral
GCUUCUCUGGUCAAUCACUGGCUUAUGUGUUACUAGUUUGGCACUUUGUUGCUAGGUGUGCCUUUGGUGUAAGGCACUUGCCUAGUGCCUCCACAAGGUUAAGGUGGGUGACUUCUAACAGGCACAUACUUCAUAGCUUAAGCAUGUAGCCCAAUGCUGAAGAAAGGUGCACAUCACAAAUCUUCACCUCUGGUGAGCUCUUUCGCCAGCAAACGCCACAAUCACUAGACUUGGCAUCUCUUAAUCUAUCAGAUCCAGCAUUGACAAACUGGAACAUUGGCGGAAUCCUCCUGGACUCCACUGCCAGAGUUGCCAGCUGAUAAUCCUUCCAUUUCCAGCAUCCACAUGCCUCAAAUCUAUCCCCUCCUUUGGUCUUCUCUGUUACUCUCUCCCUUGGCUGCUCUAUUUAUGUUCUGUCUGUUUGUCUCCCCUUUUUCUGGCUCUGUUUCUUUUUCCCCGCG